CCCUUAGAUGUUCUGGGCCGCACGCGCGCUACAAUGAUGAAUUCAACGAGUUUAUAACCUUGGUUGAAAAGCCUGGGUAAUCUUUUGAACUUUCGUCGUGAUGGGGCUAGACCCUUGCAAUUAUUGGUCUCCAACGAGGAAUUCCUAGUAAACGCAAGUCAUCAGCUUGCAUUGAUUACGUCCCUGCCCUUUGUACACACCGCCCGUCGCGCCUACCGAUUGAAUGGUCCGGUGAAAUCUUCGGAUUGAGACUUUGAUUUGUUUACUCAAAACGCUGUUUCAAGAAGUUGAUUAAACCUUACCAUUUAGAGGAAGGUGAAGUCGUAACA
RNAcentral lists this ribosomal RNA (329 nucleotides) under uncultured eukaryote. RNAcentral's name for it is "partial 18S ribosomal RNA". It matches the Rfam family "Eukaryotic small subunit ribosomal RNA", at positions 1470 to 1796 of the family's 1831-position model. The record is from RNAcentral.